CCUUUCCAGGGAGACCUAACUUCAGUAAUAGAGGUAGACUCUAUUUGUCUACAAAAACAUCUCAAUUACUUACUGAAGUCAUCCCAGGUCGAGCGAAGCUAUUAUGACAGCGGCUUUCAAACUAUUAAUGGUUCGUUAUGGGCUAUUAGCUCAGGUGGUUAGAGCGCACCCCUGAUAAGGGUGAGGUCCCUGGUUCAAGUCCAGGAUAGCCCACCUAAUAAUCUAUUAAAAGAAAUAGUCUUGGGGGUAUAGCUCAGUUGGUAGAGCGCUGCCUUUGCACGGCAGAAGUCAGCGGUUCGAGUCCGCUUACCUCCACUCCGAUUAUGGAGAUAAAAAUCUAAAUCGUCAAUAGAAAGUUCAGCAAGAGACCCAAGUCGAACUGCUGGAUUUCCAUCCAGUCAGAACCUUGAAAACUGCAUAAAGUCAAAAGUCAGGUAAGUCUAAAAAAACAGACAAGGUCAAGCUAUAAAGGGCUAACGGUGAAUACCUAGGCACACAGAGGCGAAG
RNAcentral lists this transfer RNA (507 nucleotides) under Neolyngbya nodulosa ALCB 114383. Its description in RNAcentral is "partial 16S-23S ribosomal RNA intergenic spacer". The stretch from base 243 to 315 matches the Rfam family "tRNA". The record is from RNAcentral. Lineage: Bacteria; Bacillati; Cyanobacteriota; Cyanophyceae; Oscillatoriales; Sirenicapillariaceae.